CAAUAAAGAUUCAAAAAACGGAAUAACGCAAUAGCAAAAAAAAAUACGAACACAAAAAAACUGCAAAUGCAUGCGCAGUUUUCUGCGUUAUAUCAUAUUUGCGCACAUUUCGUUAUUUCAUUUU
RNAcentral lists this non-coding RNA (124 nucleotides) under uncultured eukaryote. The record is from RNAcentral.